RNAcentral lists this long non-coding RNA (7444 nucleotides) under Gossypium barbadense (sea-island cotton). RNAcentral describes it as "long non-coding RNA (GBAR_LNC000923)". The record is from RNAcentral. Lineage: Eukaryota; Viridiplantae; Streptophyta; Magnoliopsida; Malvales; Malvaceae.
UGCUUAAUACAGUAGAGCUGCCAGCAAUUAGUUCUCAAACGAAAACACUUUUAUUGAGGAAGGGAUAACUCAAUUGGGGAAACAAGGCUGAUAAUUGUGUUCAUAACAUUGAUGAACCCUUGGAAUUAAGAAACUGUACAUAGCAUCAUGUUUUUGAAUUCUUCAAAAUCAAUCAUGCCAUCCAAGUUGGUGUCAUAGAAGCAAAUCAUGUUCCUGCAAUCUUUGCCUUGCUUUUCAUCCCAUAAACCAAGUCUUACCAACACGCUUUGAAGCUCCUCACAUGAAAUGAAGCCAUCACCAUUCAAGUCAAACACCUUGAAUGCCUUGGCAAGGUCACUGUCUCCAUGAUCAUCAUCAUCAUCAUCAUCACCGCCACCAUGGACCAUCAUUAUUUCUUCUUCCUCCUCCUCAUCAUCAAUGGCUGCCUCAAUCUUGAUGUUGUGGUUGGAGAUGGAAUCAUAGAAGAACAAGAAUUCUUCAAAGCCAAGACAAGGUUUUCCCACUAAGGACUCCAAUUCUUCAAGGCUAAACUGGACUUCGAUUCUCUCAAGCAACCAAUUAAGCUCCUCCAGGCUAACCAAGCCAUCCCCAUUCUUGUCAAGCUUCUCGAAAAUCCGUCGCAAGUCGUUCUUGCUAAGGGGAGACAUGUUGUCAAAGGGAAUAUCACCAUUAACAUGAAAUGCUUGAAGCUUGGUACUUCUGUGUAUCAACCAGUUAUGAUGAAAGCAGAGUGACGGGUGUUUUGCUAUUUAUAAUGCAAAUUAUUGGGUAACGAAGCUUGCAAGAAGUUUCCUAUGGAAAAUUAUGGAAGGAAAGAUAGAUAUAUGUGUAUAUAUAUAUAUUUCCUGAUAAAUUGUAAUUUCAUUUUUCUUUUAAAUGUGGUCUUCAUUCAUCUAAGUCCUUUUCAUUGUCUUUAUUUUGCUGCUGGCUGAAACACUCGUCAUUAAUGGGAGAAAAUUCUAGUCCCAAAUUUUGGAUCUUGUACAAAUAUCAUAUAUUUGUUUUUAGGGUAAACUACAAAAAUAAUCACUUAUGUUUGAAAUGUUACGUUUUAGUCACUUAUAUUAUCGUUUUGUUACGAAGUGGUCACUCUAUCGUUAAGUUCCAUUAUCUCCCUAACGGCAAUACUACAUGGCAAUCCAAAUAGGUUUUAAAUACCAACUUGAAUAUCUAACUGGGAUGACAAUAGGUUUUUAAUUAAAUAAAUUUAAUUAAUUAAAAAUUUUAAAUUAUUUAUACCUUGAUCUGGAAAAGAAUAAAUGUUCGUCUCUUUUUUUUUUUAGUUUUCUUUUCUGUUUUGACUAAAAAAACUAUUCUCAUCCUAAUUGGACAUCUAAGUUGGUAUUUAAAACCCAUUUGGACUGCCACAUAAGAUUGUCUUUAGGGAGGUAAUGGAGCUUAACGGCAGAGUGACUAAAACGUAACAUUUCAAACAUAAAUGACUAAAAUGUAAUUUGAAGUAAACAAAAAUGACUAUUUUUAUAGUUUACCCUUAUUUUUAUACUAGAAAUUCAUUUUAAAAUAAAAUUGUUGGAGAUAAGUUUGCUGUAUAUUACCUUUUGAGUUUAACAUAUUUGGAAAUAAAAAUCAUAUCGAAUCAUAUAAGGAAGUAAAAAUCUUUAUUUCGUAUCCUUAUUAAGGCUAGAAAUGAGAAAAUAAUAUUUAUUUUAUCUAUCUAUACCAACUAUAUAUUUACAAUUUAGUUGAGUUGUUGUCGCACAUCAAUGGGGAAGUAGAUUUUAGGAUAUAAUCAACUUUUAGGGAAGUGUUCGGUCUUUGUUACUGAGCUAUGGGGAAUUUUGGAUGGUUUGCUCUUGCUUCAGAAGCAAGGACAUAAUAGGUCUUCAUCCAAUUAGAUAAUUUCGAGGUAGGCAAAGUUUUUUGCGAUCGUCAUUUAGUUGGAGCAAAUAUUUUACUUGUUAGAAGAAUCUGACAAAAUUUAUGUUAUGAAGACAAGUGAUUCGUGCGGUAUUCUUCUAGAGAGAAUAAUCAUGCAGUGGAUGCAUUAGCUAAAAUGGCUUUUGCGAAUGAGGACGAGUUGACCUAAAUUUAACAACAUAAUUUAAAAAAUGGACUAAAAAAUGUCACAUUGACAAUAUUAGCUUAAAUUCAAGUUAAAAAAUGGCAUUGUAAUGAACCUGAAUUUAACAACAUAAUUUUAAAAGUGCUAACAGUUGACCUAAAUUUUGAAAUUUGAAAAGUAGAUGAACUGAGUUCUUAGAAAUAAAAGUACAAGCACUAAAUUUCAAAUUUACAAAGAGUGUCGGACUUGUGGCAUAUUUUAACCUUAAUAUUAUCAAGUUUUCCUUUUUCCAUAUACUCUUUAAAGUAUAAAUCAUCCUAAUAUUACCUAUGAAUGAAGUUAUGAAGUAUUCAACAUGCAGUACGAUCUAACAUUAUUUUUUAUGCUAUAUUGAAGUGAUGUUAUUAAUAUGAGAAAUCUUUUUUAGAAUAAUAAAUGUCUUCUUAAUCUUAUUUCGAAGCUUUAUGUCUCAAAUUAAAGAGUUUGCAAGUCAUUUCCGGUGCUUGCGUCUGGCUCUAUUAUCUCAAAUGGUAUCAUAUACCAUAAUAUGGUGCAACAAAACUUUUUGUAUUUACAUAACUAGCAUCUACUAUAUAAUAUUUAAGUUCAUGAUAUAAACAAUCUGUAGCAUUGAUUAUAAAAACUUGUAUAAGUAUACUAAAAAAAAUAAAAAACACUUGUAUAAAUUUAAUUUGAAAAAAGACUUAUACUAGAUUAUAACCUUUUUUUAUAAUAUAUAAAUUAGGUUAGAAAUAAUAUAAAUUUUAUAAUAUAUUACUUUUAUAAAGGGUACAAUAACUUCUAUAACACUUCUUAUAAAUAAUAUAAUUUUUCAUCGUAACUUUAGAAUGUUAAUUUUUUAUUAAUAAGUAUAUUAUUUUUAAUAAUAUAUAACAUAGACAUGUAAAUAAGUUAUAUCCUUUCUUUUUUUUUGUCAUAACUUUUUUUUUCUUUUAUAACACGUAAAUUAUUUUCUAUAAUAUACUUUUUGGCAAUAACUUUAAAUUUUUUUUCAGAUUUAAAUAAUUUUUUUUGCUAUAGUAUUAUAAAAUGCACACAAACUAUUGUUUAUAAUAAUUUUUUAGGAAUUAUAAUAUAACUUUAAAAAUUUUGAUCAUAACCAUCUCGAACACUUAUAUGAGUUUAUGUUUAUAAUAUAAUUUUUAUAACUUAAACUUGUAUAAAAAUAAUUUUUUUAAAGUUAAAUCAUGUAUAUGUGUUUGGAAAGCCAUAGGGUAAAAGGAUUUGGGUGUAAUUACCCAUGUAAUUAUUCCAAAUUUCACCUUUCUCCUAAGAAUUGGAAAAUGUAAUUAGGGUGCUUCAAUUACACCAAAUUCAACGAGAUCCACUAAUUACAAUGAUUAUCCAAACAUGUGACUUCCGUGUAGUUACAAACAAUUACAUUCAAAUUCAAUUGCUAGGUAGCUUUUCGAACACUACCUAAAUCUCAAUUCAGUUGCGAAAUCAUUAAAAGUGUAUUUCUUUUUCAAAACAAAAAAAUUAUUAGGAGGAUAUUUAUGUCUUAUAUUUUCAUGAAUCUAGAAAAAGACAUACACAUGAUAAGAAUGAUAAGAUAUAAAUCUAAGACAUCAUAAGUUUUACUAUCUCAAUUUUACCAUUUCAAUUAAAAUUAUAUUUGAGUUUUAAUCAAUUUUUUAAAAUAAAAUUGCUAUUAUGUGGUAAUAACAAAAGUAAUAUUAAGUAAAUAUUAAUUAUUGUGAUAAUAUAUCAAUGUUGAAUUAAUCUAUAUAUAAUACAUAAAACCAAUAAUUUUUGAACUAACAAAAAUAUUACUAAAUUCACAUUAAAAAUAAUUUAUUAAAAUGUUACUAGUUAAUAAUUUUAUGGAAAUAACCAAAACAGAAAUGAUAGAAUACAUGUUUUGUCAUAUAUAUAUAUAUAAAAGGUAACAUUGUCAUUUACGUUAACAAUUUAACUCAAAACAAAACUGAAUUUUUUUAUAACUUGAUGACUAAACUAGAAAUAUGGUAAUAAUUGAAUCACUAAUGAAAAAUUUACCCUUAUAUUUAUUGAUUGAUUGGAGGAGAGAUAAGUAUGGUUGAAUAUUGACUCUCUGACAACAACGUUCAGCAUUAUAUGUGGUACAAAUAAUGUACCAAAAAGGAUAUUUUGUCUUCAACAUGUUGUAACGUUUAUUAGAUUAACAGUAAUGGCAAAUUGAAGGGUGAAUGUAAGGUGCUACUAAUAAAAUGCAUAUUAUUUGUAUAAAAAAUAUUAAAUACCGACUGGGUUUAAAUUUAGUUGUAUGAGUAUUAUUGUCAAUAUAAAAUCAUGUAGCUUUAAAUGUAUUAAAGAGUAUUAUCUUCCUAUUUAUCAAUUACAGAAAAAUUAUAAAUAAUUUUAAACAUUAUAUAAAAAAACAAAUAUAAUUAAAAUUUAUAAUAAAAUUACUAAAAAUAUAUUUUAAAAAAAUCAAAUACAUAUUAUUUGUUCAGAGAAAUAUUGGUGAAAAAUAUUGCAAUAUGAUUGGUUUAUAGGUUCUAAGAUGAAACACGUGUCUUCAACAAAAGGAAAAGUUUGAAACACGUGUCUACACCACGCAACAUUUAAUUAUUCCGGCUAUGGUCGGUUUGUCAUCUAUUAAUAUGAUGGAAACAUCAAAUUCCACACAGAAAAAUAAAAAUAAAAAUAGAAAACGAACAUUUUUUAAAAAAAAAAUCUAUUAUAAUAAAAACAAGUGUGAUUUCUUCAACCAAAGUUGAUAUUUUAUAAUUUUAUCUUUCAAUUGUAUUAAAAAUUGAAAAUAAAUAAAUAAGAUAUAUAUCAAAAUUUUAAUUAUGUUAUGUACUAAAUAAUUACCCAAAAUAUUUUAUCUGAAUAAACAUAUUUAAAUUUAAUACUUUUUUACUUAAACUUUUUUUUAUUUAAUUUGUGUGUACUUCACGCAUUUUUUUAAUUUGACAAUUAUUUUUUUUAAUUUAGUACAUGAACUUAUCAUUUUUUCUUAAUUUGAUACUUAAGUUUUUUUUUGUUCAAUUUGGUACCUAAGCUUAUCAAAUGUUAUAUAAACUACAUUAACAAUGUUUUUUUGCACAAAGUAGCAAAAAUAAAAAAAUUAUGAUCCACAUGUGACAGAAAAGAUGGAUUUUCUUUUUUAUGUUUUAAAUAUUCAAUUGCUUUUAGUUUAACUAAUUUAUUUUAAUUUAAUUUAACAUAAUGAUUUUUCCGGAGGGAAGGGUUUAAAACUCUUGUCUUCUUCUCAACAUCCAUUUAUUAAGCACAGCUCAAAGAAAAAAAUUUAAACACAAAUUUUCUUUAGUACUGAUGAUAUUUUUGUAGAAUUGAGGGCUUCGUGAAGAUCAAGUCGUGCUUUAAGCAUGAGUCCCCUCUUGAAUCGCCCCUGCCACUAACGGUCAAAGUAAUAUAAACUCAUAUGAAAAGUAAAAUUUGAGCAUAUUGUUUAGUGAAAUAGAGGAAACUCCAAAUAAAUAUAUUCAUUCCUACCGUUAAUGGUUAAAUUAACUAUUUUAAUGAUGAAAGGACUUGAUUGAUAUAAUAUUGAUGGUUUUGAAGUGUAAUUAGAAUGUUUUGAAGUUUAGGGGCCAAUUUAAAAUGAGAGUCAUAGUUGGAGAUGUCUAGUGCAAUUAAAUCAAAGUAUUUAUAAGUAUGCUCAUAUUUGUAAAAUGCCUAAGGUAAAACGGUGAAAUUAAAAUUAGUGGUGAGAUAUAUAUUUAGAUUCAAUCAAAACGGUGGCGAGAAAUAAUUUAGAGUAAAAAAAUAAAAUAACUAUUAAAAACAUUAAAUUGAAAUGUAUAUAAUAAAAAAAAUAAUUUAUUUUUUAUUUGUAAAAUUCAUAAAUAAUUAAAUUAUAUAUUGAAUAAUUAUUUUAUUAAUAUUUUUUAUUAUUCAUGUAAUAUUUAUUUUUUAUUAUUUAUACGUUUAUAAUAAAAAUACAUAUUCAAUUAUUAUAUAUUUUUUGAAGUUAUAAGAAAAUAAAUUUUAUAUAUUUAUUAUGUAAAGAAAUAUUAUAUAUUUAUUUCUUAAUUAAUACAUAAACCAAUUUUUUUUUAAAAAACCUAAAAAUUCUAUGAAAACAAAAAGUCAAAUAAAGGACCAACAUGUAAAGAGCAAUUUUGGUUGGGCUGCUCUUUUUCUGAUUGUAGCCUUAACCCCUGGUUAUAAAUUGGAUGGACAGUGCUUGUCUAUGGAUACUAACCCAUAGUAAUUGUUAUUUGGAAUUUUUCUGAUCAUUUUAUAAUUUUUAAAAGUUAAAUUAUCAAAACAUAAAUUUAUUAAUAAAAUAGUGACUUUGGGUAUAAUUUUCUGUAUAAUUUAAUUUUCAUGUCAUAUGCAUUACAUAAUAUAUAAAAGAAAAGAAAAAGUAAUAUAUUAAAAACUUGAAAAUGAGUUAAGAUAGGGUCGGGUCAAGUUUUAGUUCAAAGUAUUAGAGUUCGAGUUCCAUUCAAAUUUAAUAGAGAUUUAAUAUUUAUUUUACCUGAACUCAUUUUCUGAAUCUAAUAUUUUUAUCUUAAACUUCUCAAAUUUUAGAUAAACUUUCAAACUUGAACGAAUAUCUCGAUCCAUAGAAUAAUUAUAUCAAAAACCAUUGAGCUCGAACUAAGAAACACUUUUACAAGCUUGUUUCUAAUAUUCUUCAUAAAAAUUAAAAAAAUAUAUAAAAUUUUAAUUGCAACCAACAAUCAACACAAACAACAUAUGCAUUGUAAAUAUCAAACUAGAUAAAAAAAUAUUACAAGGUUGUAGUAGGAUCUGAAAAACACCAUAGAUAUAAAAUUUUAUUUUUUGCUUAAUACAGCUUAUAUUGCGGAAGGGAUAACUCAAUUGGGGACUGAUAAUUGUGAUCAUGACAUUGAUGAAACCCUUGGAAUUAAGAAACGGUACGUAGCAUCAUGUUUUUGAAUUCUUCAAAAUCAAUCAUGCCAUCCAAGUUGGUGUCAUAGAAGCAAAUCAUGUUCCUGCAAUCUUUGCCUUUCUUUUCAUCCCAUAAGCCAAGUCUUACCAACACGCUUUGAAGCUCCUCACAUGAAAUGAAGCCAUCACCAUUCAAGUCAAACGCCUUGAAUGCCUUGGCAAGGUCACAGUCUCCAUGACCACCAUCAUCAUCAUCACCGCCACCAUGAACCAUCAUUAUUUCUUCUUCCUCCUCAUCAUCAAUGGCUGCCUCAAUCUUGGUGCUGUGGUUGGAGAUGGAAUCAUAGAAGAACAAGAAUUCUUCAAAGCCAAGACAAGGUUUUCCCACUAAGGACUCCAAUUCUUCAAGGCUAAACUGGACUCCGAUUCUCUCAAGCAACCAAUUAAGCUCCUUCAGGCUAACCAAGCCAUCCCCAUUCUUGUCAAGCUUCUCGAAAAUCCGUCGCAAGUCGUUCUUGCUAAGGGGAGACAUGUUGUCAAAGGGAAUAUCACCAUUAAUAUGAAAUGCUUGAAGCUUGGUAUUUCUGU